UACGUAGGCAGCGAGCGUUGUUCGGAGUUACUGGGCGUAAAGGGUGUGUAGGCGGUUCUUUAAGUUUGGUGUGAAAUCUCCCGGCUUAACCGGGAGGGUGCGCCGAAUACUGAGGGACUAGAGUACGGGAGAGGAAAGUGGAAUUCCUGGUGUAGCGGUGAAAUGCGUAGAUAUCAGGAGGAACACCGGUGGUGUAGACGGCUUUCUGGACCGUAACUGACGCUGAGACGCGAAAGCGUGGGUAGCAAACAGG
This 253-nucleotide ribosomal RNA is filed under the name uncultured bacterium. RNAcentral's name for it is "partial 16S ribosomal RNA". It matches the Rfam family "Bacterial small subunit ribosomal RNA", at positions 524 to 776 of the family's 1533-position model. The record is from RNAcentral.